CCUACGGGAGGCAGCAGUGAGGAAUAUUGGUCAAUGGUCGGGAGACUGAACCAGCCAAGCCGCGUGAGGGAGGAAGGUACAGAGUAUCGUAAACCUCUUUUGUCAGGGAACAAAGGCGGGGACGUGUCCCCGGAUGAGUGUACCUGAAGAAAAAGCAUCGGCUAACUCCGUGCCAGCAGCCGGGGUAAUACGGAGGAUGCGAGCUUUAUCCGGAUUGAUUGGGUUAAAAGGGUGCGCAGGCGGUCUGUUAAGUCAGCGGUCAAAGCCCGGGGCUCAACCCCGGCCCGCCGUUGAAACUGGCAGUCUCGAGUUGGAGAGAAGUAUGCGGAAUGCGCGGUGUAGCGGUGAAAUGCAUAGAUAUCGCGCAGAACUCCGAUUGCGAAGGCAGCAUGCCGGCUCCACACUGACGCUGAGGCACGAAAGCGUGGGUAUCGAACAGGAUUAGAUACCCGUGUAGUC
RNAcentral lists this ribosomal RNA (459 nucleotides) under uncultured bacterium. RNAcentral describes it as "partial 16S ribosomal RNA". It matches the Rfam family "Bacterial small subunit ribosomal RNA", at positions 338 to 795 of the family's 1533-position model. The record is from RNAcentral.